Molecule: ribosomal RNA, 253 nt
Filed under: uncultured bacterium
Lineage: Bacteria
Description: partial 16S ribosomal RNA
Rfam family: Bacterial small subunit ribosomal RNA
Source: RNAcentral
UACAGAGGUCCCAAGCGUUGUUCGGAUUUACUGGGCGUAAAGGGUGCGUAGGUGGGCAAGUAAGUCAGUGGUGAAAUCUCCGGGCUUAACCCGGAAACUGCCAUUGAUACUAUUUGUCUUGAAUACUGUGGAGGUCAGCGGAAUAUGUCAUGUAGCGGUGAAAUGCUUAGAUAUGACAUAGAACACCAAUUGCGAAGGCAGCUGGCUACACAAAUAUUGACACUGAGGCACGAAAGCGUGGGGAUCAAACAGG